Molecule: long non-coding RNA, 431 nt
Filed under: Arabidopsis lyrata
Lineage: Eukaryota; Viridiplantae; Streptophyta; Magnoliopsida; Brassicales; Brassicaceae
Description: long non-coding RNA (ALYR_LNC001052)
Source: RNAcentral
GGUAGGACCUAAUGAUUCACAUUUACAGCUUGGUGAAAAUAUAAUUAGCUCAUCAUAUUAAAGAUUCGAACACGUAUGUGUCACUUUUCUUUUCGACAAUCUUUGUGACUUGCAAAGCAUAUUAUUCGUCUCCUUCAGAUUUUCCCAUGCUUAAGAAUCUGAAAAAGUUAAGUUUCACACAUGGCGACUCUUAUCUUUGUGAAAAUCUCCCUAAUUGACAAUAUUUUGCACUAAAAGAAUGAAAUUCUAGAAUUUCAAGAAUAACGAAGGUCUUUGGAAAUUACUUUUGGUUGCAAAUACGAAAACCUUACACAAUUCAGAAAGUGGAUCCAUAUUGUAGUCAUCUUUGCUGCCGUUGACGUCCUUAAUAAAUCCUUGCAAGAUCUUCUUUCGCGUAGUCCUUUUAUUCCUGCAGAUAUAUUGUUCUAAUA